UCUUCCUCACAUUCGAGAAUACUAGUGAUAUAAAAAUAAUUAGAAGAAAACUGUUAUUGAAAGAAAAGAUUAUCUAUCAAAAAACCAUUACUAUUUUCUGAAAAAAACACUCACAUUUCUUACGACAGCUACAUUACGUUAUCUCAAAUGUUUCAUAUUUCGCGACCAUCAGUUGCAUAUUUCAUUCCUGAAGUGAAUAUAAUAUUUUGAAAUCAAUAUCAGUUGUUGUUUGUCUACCCUGGAAAGAGUUUAAAGCUAAAGCGUUCACUUGCUGGCGGAUUACAAGAACAGAUCUGAACACAACCCGGAGUUAAUUACAAAAAUUGAUUGCAAAAUGCAUGAAGAAAAUAAAAAAUUGUGUGAAAACUACCACGUCUGAACGUACCUUUGAAGCGCCAUCUGCAGUUGUGAUACCGCAACCGUGAACGAAUGCUCAAAUAUCGUAAUAGCAAAUACAUCCACCAUCAAUGAAAUACGAGCUAAGUGAGAUUGUGGAAGGUGAAACAUAGUUUUUUAGUUGGGCGACAUCUGCUGCUAAGGUGCGAAACAAACGGGUAAAGAACUUGUAACAACGAAAAGGUGUAGUCAAAAUUAUUAAUAAAAUUAAAAUUAAUUAUAAAAAUUGUUAAGCGUAAUUAAAUAAAUUGAGUGAUUUAUAUACCACGUAAAUUAAUGUAAAUAAAUACACAAUAUAACAUAAGAGUGAUGUAAAAAUGUAGGUUAAACGAUGUAUUCAUAUAUAUAUCCAUCAAAGGUGUAAAGAUUUUUAUUUGAGUUUCAACUUCGGAUACAAGAAGCAAACUCCGGUGUAGUUGUUUGAAAUGUGUGUAUUUUGUUUUUGUGGAAAAAAGUUUAGAGGGCGAGAAUUUCGUUUUUGUAAAUUAUAUAGAGAAACAAAUUUUAUUUUUUUUAUCUUCUAAAAUCUUCGUACACAAUAAAAGAAUCUCCAAUUUUAUAUAGGCCGGGGCAUUGUUUUCGUCAAUACACAUAUACUUUUUUUACUACACCAAAUAUAUUUAAGAUGGUAUUAUGGAACCGACUUGAUUUUGUUUUUUUCGAAGAUUAGCAAAACCGAUUUUCGAAUCAGCUGGAAAAAAAACUUGUGCAAAAAACUCAGAAAUUUAAUUUAAAUUUGUAUGGGCUUUAACAAAUUUUUGAUUUUAAUUAAAUAUAAAUUACCUUCCGCCAUGAUGAUAGAAGGAUUAGGAGAAGCCAGUAAGAAAAUAAGCUCUGAAUUUUAAGGGAUGAAAGCAAUGCGUUGGAGCCGCCAGAGUCGAUAUGUGAAAUUUGCAUUCUAAAUACUUCAACUUUCAACUGAUUAACUGAUCAACUGAUUGAUUCAGACUCUAAAACUGUGAUACAUCGAUUUCGACGCGUGUUGACAUGCUUACGCCGGCCAUCGAAAUAUACAAGCCACCGCUCUGACAUAAGGAUGACACUGUGGAGAGCAAUUUGGGUUAUCCAUCGACGAGUAGCGACAUAUAGCAUAGACUUAUCACGACAGCGGAGAUCACCGCUACUUCAGCUACGGAUAAUCUCUUUGCGCUUCCAUCAUAGUGUCAAUCAACUAAUCAGUCGACUAUUAAGAAAAAAUAUUAACAAAAACAACCAAAUCAUCCCGAAAAUUUCAAAUUCACUUGCAUUAAGAGAAAUACAAAUGUAAUAACAUACAUAAGUGUUAAAAAGGGCAGUAAAGGAAUUUACGUAUACGUCUGUACGUAUGUUAUACAUAUAAUAUUAUAUAAUCCAUACGAGUAUAUGUUUGAAUUGGAAUGUGGUUCAAAUGAAAUUUAUGUUGGGAAAGUGAUUGAGAUGAAACAAAUGGAGAAUUAUUCAUGUGAUGCGAGGCGAAUAGUUUGAUAAAAGUAAUAGUUAAUGCAGUUCAAGCCAUAGAAACAAAUAUAUAGAUACACACAUGCAUACAUGCAUGCCCAUAUGUACACAUACACAUUCAUAUAUAAUAUAUUGACUCAGAACAAACACACCUACAUACUUAGUAUCGAAAAAUGAUUGAACCAACUGAAUAAUUCCUAAGAUUGAUUAUAUUUAGCUAAUUAGCAUAAAGCAUAAGGAUUUUUAUGAUAAAAAUAGGCGUCAAAACAAAAAUAAAUUUAUAGCUAAGAAAACUAAAUGGUAUUUAGUGUACCAGAAUAAAGAGUAAAUGGUGGAAAUCAAAUACCUAACUUAGAUGUUAUAAACAAAUUGUUAUUUUCAUACGAUUAUUAUGAAAAUUAAUUUCAUUUCAAUUAUUAUAUAAACAAAAUGAAUUUGAUAAAAACUCAUACUAACACUUAAGUUCAUAUAUACAUACAUAUGUACGUGUAUUUAGAUAUGUAUGUACAUAUAUGCAUAUAUUUAGUUUAGAUAAAACGAUGAUAAAAAAAUGUCCCAUGGAAAUGGAGAAAGUUAUACUAGUAAUAGAACAAAUUAAUUAUACUACA
Molecule: RNA transcript, 2441 nt
Organism: Ceratitis capitata (Mediterranean fruit fly)
Lineage: Eukaryota; Metazoa; Arthropoda; Insecta; Diptera; Tephritidae
Gene: Teh1
Gene name: protein tipE
Exons: 3
Source: RefSeq, a predicted model, not a curated record